RNAcentral lists this non-coding RNA (66 nucleotides) under unclassified sequences. The record is from RNAcentral.
GUCACAUAAACAAGCCUCUACGUGGCGUGACUAGAAACGUAUUUUAUAAUACGGCUAAUUGUUUAA